Molecule: ribosomal RNA, 433 nt
Filed under: uncultured bacterium
Lineage: Bacteria
Description: partial 16S ribosomal RNA
Rfam family: Bacterial small subunit ribosomal RNA
Source: RNAcentral
AGCGAACGCUGGCGGCAGGCCUAACACAUGCAAGUCGAACGAACUCUUCGGAGUUAGUGGCGGACGGGUGAGUAACACGUGGGAACGUGCCUUUUGGUUCGGAAUAACUCAGGGAAACUUGUGCUAAUACCGAAUGUGCCCUUCGGGGGAAAGAUUUAUCGCCAUUAGAGCGGCCCGCGUCUGAUUAGCUAGUUGGUGAGGUAACGGCUCACCAAGGCGACGAUCAGUAGCUGGUCUGAGAGGAUGACCAGCCACACUGGGACUGAGACACGGCCCAGGCUCCUACGGGAGGCAGCAGUGGGGAAUCUUGCGCAAUGGGCGAAAGCCUGACGCAGCCAUGCCGCGUGAAUGAUGAAGGUCUUAGGAUUGUAAAAUUCUUUCACCGGGGACGAUAAUGACGGUACCCGGAGAAGAAGCCCCGGCUAACUUAGUG